RNAcentral lists this small RNA (159 nucleotides) under Actinobacteria bacterium OK074. RNAcentral's name for it is "c-di-AMP riboswitch aptamer (ydaO/yuaA leader)". It matches the Rfam family "c-di-AMP riboswitch aptamer (ydaO/yuaA leader)". From Rfam's summary of the family: This family represents a conserved RNA structure found upstream of the ydaO and yuaA genes in Bacillus subtilis and related genes in other bacteria. The ydaO/yuaA element is thought to act as a genetic "off" switch for the ydaO and yuaA genes in its native state. RNAcentral also lists the same sequence under 1 other name. The record is from Rfam by way of RNAcentral. Lineage: Bacteria; Bacillati; Actinomycetota; Actinomycetes.
CGUGCGCAUGUGCCUAAUCCCGCAAGGGAGCCGGGGAACCACCAACCUUGGGGUGAAUCUCGCGUAAGCCGUCGUGGCAGCACGACCGGUAUACGCGCGUAGGAGACCUUCCUGCUCCGAACCCGUCAGCUAACCCGGUAGGCGAGAAGGAAGGAAGGA